Molecule: ribosomal RNA, 699 nt
Filed under: Ectopseudomonas khazarica
Lineage: Bacteria; Pseudomonadati; Pseudomonadota; Gammaproteobacteria; Pseudomonadales; Pseudomonadaceae
Description: Pseudomonas khazarica partial 16S rRNA
Source: RNAcentral
UCAGUCCAGGUAGUCGCCUUCGCCACUGGUGUUCCUUCCUAUAUCUACGCAUUUCACCGCUACACAGGAAAUUCCACUACCCUCUACCGUACUCUAGCUCGCCAGUUUUGGAUGCAGUUCCCAGGUUGAGCCCGGGGCUUUCACAUCCAACUUAACGAACCACCUACGCGCGCUUUACGCCCAGUAAUUCCGAUUAACGCUUGCACCCUUCGUAUUACCGCGGCUGCUGGCACGAAGUUAGCCGGUGCUUAUUCUGUUGGUAACGUCAAAACCGCAGGAUAUUAGCCUACAGCCCUUCCUCCCAACUUAAAGUGCUUUACAAUCCGAAGACCUUCUUCACACACGCGGCAUGGCUGGAUCAGGCUUUCGCCCAUUGUCCAAUAUUCCCCACUGCUGCCUCCCGUAGGAGUCUGGACCGUGUCUCAGUUCCAGUGUGACUGAUCAUCCUCUCAGACCAGUUACGGAUCGUCGCCUUGGUGAGCCAUUACCUCACCAACUAGCUAAUCCGACCUAGGCUCAUCUGAUAGCGCAAGGCCCGAAGGUCCCCUGCUUUCUCCCGUAGGACGUACGCGGUAUUAGCGUUCCUUUCGGAACGUUAUCCCCCACUACCAGGCAGAUUCCUAGGCAUUACUCACCCGUCCGCCGCUGAAUCCAGGAGCAAGCUCCCUUCAUCCGCUCGACUUGCAUGUGUUAGGCCUG